This 320-nucleotide ribosomal RNA is filed under the name uncultured Chloroflexota bacterium. RNAcentral describes it as "bacterial SSU rRNA". It matches the Rfam family "Bacterial small subunit ribosomal RNA", at positions 28 to 351 of the family's 1533-position model. The record is from RNAcentral. Lineage: Bacteria; Bacillati; Chloroflexota.
GAUGAACGCUGGCGGCGUGCUUAAUACAUGCAAGUCGAACGGAGAGUUAGCAAUAGCUCUUAGUGGCGAACGGGUGAGUAACACGUUGGUGACCUGUCCCGUAGAAGGGGAUAACAGUUCGAAAGGACUGCUAAUACCCUAUGUGGUUAUCGAGGCUAGAGGCUUGGUAACUGAAGGAGAAAUCCGCUAUGGGAGGGGCCUGCGUCCCAUCAGCUAGUUGGUAGGGUAAAGGCCUACCAAGGCGAAGACGGGUAGGGGACCUGAGAGGGUGAUCCCCCACACUGGCACUGAAACACGGGCCAGACACCUACGGGUGGCUG